Molecule: long non-coding RNA, 231 nt
Organism: Suricata suricatta (meerkat)
Lineage: Eukaryota; Metazoa; Chordata; Mammalia; Carnivora; Herpestidae
Exons: 3
Source: RefSeq, a predicted model, not a curated record
CUCCUAGCGGGAAGUUGGAGAGGUUUGUGGCUGGGAGCGUGUAGAUGAGUUUGAAUGAGAGCAGGUGGUGCCGGAGAUCCAAAGGUCGGCUGGGAGCCUGUUCUAUAGCCACUCACUCCAGGAUCUGGGCUAAUGGGGCAGCCACCAUCUUGAAAAUUGCUGAUCUCAUCCCAGGAAAAGGAACCCAGCAAACCAGAGGCAAUGAAGAAACCAAAGAAGGAUUGAUUAAAG